Molecule: ribosomal RNA, 497 nt
Filed under: Dario dayingensis
Lineage: Eukaryota; Metazoa; Chordata; Actinopteri; Anabantiformes; Badidae
Description: partial 12S ribosomal RNA
Rfam family: Bacterial small subunit ribosomal RNA
Source: RNAcentral
UAAACAUUGGUAGCACAAUACACACGCUGCCCGCCCGGGUACUACGAGCGUCAGCUUAAAACCCAAAGGACUUGGCGGUGCUUAAGAUCCCCCUAGAGGAGCCUGUUCUAGAACCGAUAAUCCCCGUUCAACCUCACCCUCCCUUGUUCUUUUCAGCCUAUAUACCGCCGUCGUCAGCUUACCCUGUGAAGGGUUAACAGUAAGCAAAAUUGGCAUUGCCCAAAACGUCAGGUCGAGGUGUAGCGUAUGAGAGGGGAAGAAAUGGGCUACAUUCCCUGAAACAGGGCAUACGGAUAGUAAAAUGAAAAUGUUACUUGAAGGUGGAUUUAGUAGUAAGUAGAGAGUAGAGAGCUUUACUGAAAUUGGCCCUAAAGCGCGUACACACCGCCCGUCACUCUCCCCAAGCUACAAAACUUAAAUUAAAUAAAAAACAUAAAAUGCAAAGGGGAGGCAAGUCGUAACAUGGUAAGGGUACCGGAAGGUGCCCUUGGAAUAAC